This 373-nucleotide ribosomal RNA is filed under the name uncultured bacterium. RNAcentral's name for it is "partial 16S ribosomal RNA". It matches the Rfam family "Bacterial small subunit ribosomal RNA", at positions 355 to 720 of the family's 1533-position model. The record is from RNAcentral.
UGGGGAAUUUUGGACAAUGGGCGAAAGCCUGAUCCAGCCAUUCCGCGUGAGUGAAGAAGGCCUUCGGGUUGUAAAGCUCUUUCGCAAGGGAAGAAAACUUAUAUUCUAAUAAAGUAUGAGGAUGACGGUACCUUGAUAAGAAGCACCGGCUAACUACGUGCCAGCAGCCGCGGUAAUACGUAGGGUGCGAGCGUUAAUCGGAAUUACUGGGCGUAAAGCGUGCGCAGGCGGUUUUGAAAGUAAGAUGUGAAAUCCCCGAGCUCAACUUGGGAACUGCGUUUGAAACUCCAAAGCUAGAGUAUAGGAGAGGGGGGUAGAAUUCCACGUGUAGCAGUGAAAUGCGUAGAGAUGUGGAGGAAUACCAAUGGCGAGG